Molecule: ribosomal RNA, 563 nt
Filed under: uncultured fungus
Lineage: Eukaryota; Fungi
Description: eukaryotic LSU rRNA
Rfam family: 5.8S ribosomal RNA (bases 203-356)
Source: RNAcentral
AGUCGUAACAAGGUCUCCGUUGGUGAACCAGCNNNNGGAUCAUUACCGAGUUUACAACUCCCAAACCCAUGUGAACAUACCUACUGUUGCUUCGGCGGGAUUGCCCCGGGCGCCUCGUGCGCCCCAGAUCAGGCGCCCGCCUAGGAAACUUAACUCUUGUUUUAUUUUGGAAUCUUCUGAGUAGUUUUUACAAAUAAAUAAAAACUUUCAACAACGGAUCUCUUGGUUCUGGCAUCGAUGAAGAACGCAGCGAAAUGCGAUAAGUAAUGUGAAUUGCAGAAUUCAGUGAAUCAUCGAAUCUUUGAACGCACAUUGCGCCCGCCAGUAUUCUGGCGGGCAUGCCUGUCUGAGCGUCAUUUCAACCCUCAUGCCCCUAGGGCGUGGUGUUGGGGAUCGGCCAAAGCCCGCGAGGGACGGCCGGCCCCUAAAUCUAGUGGCGGACCCGUCGUGGCCUCCUCUGCGAAGUAGUAAUAUUCCGCAUCGGACAGCGACGAGCCCCUGCCGUUAAACCCCCAACUUUCUAAGGUUGACCUCAGAUCAGGUAGGAAUACCCGCUGAACUUA